UGCAGAUGUUGCCUCAAUAUAUUGAUUUCACUUCUUUUGGACAUGUACUCACAAGUGGGAUUGCUGGAUCAUAUCAUAGUUCUAUUUUUAGUGUAUUGAGUACUCUCUAGAUGACUGUUUUGAUAAAAUGUUUUUAUGACUUCAUAAAUACAAUCCAAGAUCGUCUUACUUUGAUUUAAUUGAUUACAAACAUUUGACAACAGAGUUUUUCCUUUUCUUUCUGUGGAGCACCUUGAAGACUUCCGGGCAUUAGAAUUGCAGCAGCACUACCACAAUGUUCAUUUUGGUAAGUUUGGAUGAUUUGUUCAGUGAUGGACGUCCCAAAUGUAGUGCUUAAUCAUUCCAUGGUGAAAAUGCUGUAAUUUACCAGCAAAAGGAAUUUUGUAAGGAAAUCAAAGAAAAAUGUUUCACAAAUGACUGGAAAGACUGCUUCUGAAUUUUAGACUUAAUUCACCAUUGUAAAUCUGAUUUCUAUGUUAUCAUAUUUCUUGUCUGUGUUUUUCAUUAGCUAGAUUGGUUCGAUGCCCUCUCCUCCCCUCCACUUUUUCUGACCUUUCUUUGAUUCUUUCUCCUAAUUUCUGAACCAUGGUUUUUCUUCCCAAGACUUGGGAACUGCUUAGAAAGAAUGUAGAAAACUUCUAGCAGAAUGGCUAGAAAUUUCUACAAAGUUCUAUAUAAUCUGUGUGUAAUAUUUACAAAUCAAUGACUAAAAUUAAGACCAGUUUUGCAAAUGUAUCUCCACUAAAGAAGCACAGUGCAAAAAAGUAAUUCCUAAUUUUUAUUGAUCUCCUUGAAGGCUUAAGAAUAUCCAAGAAUGUAGUGUUCACUAAUUCAUUUAAGACCAGGUUGGUGGCUAUAACCAGGGCUAUCAUUUCAUAUGUGGUGACCACAAGAACACCAAAGUAUGGUAGGGAAAUCAAGUCAGGGAAAUAUUUGAUGGGAACCAGCCAUUUAUUCAGUGACUAUUUACCAGAGUUGCCUGGGAGAGAAGUAGCCGGACAAUAUCACUGGCUUCCGAGGGCCUGAGAAGGGCAGAACUACCCAGGAAUGGAAGCCACAAGCAGCCCAAAGCUAGAAGGCCGUCCCCGUGACACUGACCACUUGCUCAACAAAGAGACCACUGGAGAAGACUGCAAAAGUCAGAAAAACUCGCCAGGGAUUUAGGCAAAGAGCUGAUGAAGUUUAAGUUGUAGAGAAUAUAUGACUCUGGAGUCUUACAGUCCUUGGUGUAAAUCUGGCUGUGACACAUAUUUGAGUGGCCUUGAGAACAUUAUUUAUUUAAGCUUCAGUUGCCCCCAAACGUAAAGUGGAGAUAAAAGUUACCUACCUUGCAGACUUGUUGUAAGACUUAACUGAAGUUAUAUAUGAAAA
This 1371-nucleotide long non-coding RNA is filed under the name Macaca mulatta (Rhesus monkey). RNAcentral describes it as "lncRNA (ENSMMUG00000062164.1)". The record is from RNAcentral. Lineage: Eukaryota; Metazoa; Chordata; Mammalia; Primates; Cercopithecidae.